Molecule: ribosomal RNA, 393 nt
Filed under: uncultured bacterium
Lineage: Bacteria
Description: bacterial SSU rRNA
Rfam family: Bacterial small subunit ribosomal RNA
Source: RNAcentral
AUUGAACGCUGGCGGCAUGCCUUACACAUGCAAGUCGAACGGCAGCGCGGGGCAACCUGGCGGCGAGUGGCGAACGGGUGAGUAAUAUAUCGGAACGUACCCUGGAGUGGGGGAUAACGUAGCGAAAGUUACGCUAAUACCGCAUACGAUCCAAGGAUGAAAGCAGGGGACCGCAAGGCCUUGUGCUCCAGGAGCGGCCGAUAUCUGAUUAGCUAGUUGGUGGGGUAAAGGCCUACCAAGGCAUCGAUCAGUAGCUGGUCUGAGAGGACGACCAGCCACACUGGAACUGAGACACGGUCCAGACUCCUACGGGAGGCAGCAGUGGGGAAUUUUGGACAAUGGGCGCAAGCCUGAUCCAGCAAUGCCGCGUGAGUGAAGAAGGCCUUCGGUUGU